Molecule: transfer RNA, 86 nt
Filed under: Gordonia phage Forza
Lineage: Duplodnaviria; Heunggongvirae; Uroviricota; Caudoviricetes
Also listed under: 3 other names
Description: tRNA-Ser
Source: RNAcentral
GGAGAGUACGUUGGUGUGUCCAACAGCCGGUCUUGAAAACCAGCAUGCGGUAUCCAUUCCGGGGGUUCGAUUCCUCUACUCUCCGC